GAACCUUACCUAAGCUUGACAUCCCAAUGACAUCUCCUUAAUCGGAGAGUUCCCUUCGGGGACAUUGGUGACAGGUGGUGCAUGGUUGUCGUCAGCUCGUGUCGUGAGAUGUUGGGUUAAGUCCCGCAACGAGCGCAACCCUUGUCUUUAGUUGCCAUCAUUAAGUUGGGCACUCUAGAGAGACUGCCAGGGAUAACCUGGAGGAAGGUGGGGAUGACGUCAAAUCAUCAUGCCCCUUAUGCUUAGGGCUACACACGUGCUACAAUGGGUAGUACAGAGGGUUGCCAAGCCGUAAGGUGGAGCUAAUCCCUUAACGCUACUCUCAGUUCGGAUUGUAGGCUGAAACUCGCCUACAUGAAGCUGGCGUUACUAGUAAUAGCAGCACAACAUGC
RNAcentral lists this ribosomal RNA (392 nucleotides) under Clostridioides difficile. RNAcentral's name for it is "bacterial SSU rRNA". It matches the Rfam family "Bacterial small subunit ribosomal RNA", at positions 966 to 1357 of the family's 1533-position model. Lineage: Bacteria; Bacillati; Bacillota; Clostridia; Peptostreptococcales; Peptostreptococcaceae. The record is from RNAcentral.